This is a long non-coding RNA of Cyprinus carpio carpio, 2903 nucleotides long. Lineage: Eukaryota; Metazoa; Chordata; Actinopteri; Cypriniformes; Cyprinidae. The record is from Ensembl.
AACAUAACGAAAGGGUAGUGAAUUUGCCCACAGUGUAUUGUUAAGUUUUUGAAAAUUUUCAAAGCAUUUUCCCAAAAUAUGUGUCAAAAUAAAAUUUGUCACCAAAAAUCAUUCCAUUAGCUGAAACAGAGAAAGUUGUGGCCAAAAUAAGACUCAACUUUACCCCCUAGUGGACGAAAACGUCCCCAACAACACAUAAGGGUUAAAUUGAUUAUUUGAUUAACAAUUUAAUUAGAUUUAAGUUAUUUAUUUACGACAUCUUUAUGUUUAGCCUAUGUAAAUUCUGCGUGUUUUAACGAGCGCGCGCUGAACAUUGGAGUAGCGUUCAUUCAGAUACAAACACCGGAGCGGAGGGAGUUGCCAUGGAAACGGGGCGACCGACAACACUGGCAAGCUGCAAGCUCCGUUUCUUGCUGCUGUUUUCACUGCUUUCGGUUACCGUUAAUCGGUGACGUCAUUACACCAGCGGUACAGUCCAAACGCAUUUUGAUCUCGUCUAAUGAUUCUUCCGUGUUUGAUGUUCUUCUGCAUCCCAGAGUCUGAGCAAGCCUCCUGUCCAACAACAUCUCCAAGACACACUGAACCAUACGACUAGCAGGUUAACCCCAGACAUACACUAAUGUUCAAAAUUCAGAGUUUUUUAUGUUUUUGAAAAUAAGUCUUUAAUUUUUUUUUAUGCUUACCAAUUUCUGAAAAAAAGCAGAUAAAAAAAGUAAAAUCAAUAAUAUUGUGAAAUAAUAUUACAAUUUAAAAUAGCAUUUUUUUUUGCGAAAUGUAAUUUAUUUCUGUGAUGCGCAGUGUUUCUUUGGCAAGAAAUCAUAUUAUAAUGAUUUCUGAAGGAUCAUAUGACACUAAAGCCUGGAGUAAUGAUGGUGAAAAUCAGCUUUGAUCAUAGCAAUCAAAUGACCCUUUGCAAAAACCCACCCUCGUUAAAUACUGUUGCUGCGUCCAACAAGCCAUGCUGCUCUCACUAUACACACCUUGUUCUCACACAGGGAAAAACACAUCGUGGACCAAAGAGGAAACUGACAACACACAGACAGACAAGACAGAGAAGCCUCGUGUGUGAAGACUUCAGAAGAUGCCAGACCUCACAAAGAUUUCAGAUGAUGGCAACUAUAGAUGAACAUGCAAAGCUGCUAAAUAAUUCUUAUAUUGUAAUCAUUGCCCUAAAAGGAAGGAUCUUAUCAGCAAAUCUACUUCACAGCACAUCAGUGAAAGCAGUUGACAGUUACGGAUGGGUGUGUUGGAUCAGGGUCAGAUCUGAAUUCUGAUGGUAGGUAAAUCUCCAGGAACAGGAUUAUGCAGCCUUGUUAUAUUGGUAAUGUAUGAUGGAUUUUGAACUGUACUGUUUUUAUUGCAGGUUUUCUGGGAUGACAGUUGAAGAUGAUCAGAACAUCAGAUGUUGGUCUGGACAGCUGUACCUACAGUACACCACACUGACCUCUCUGCUUUUGCAUGGAUAACUGACUUACUACCAUGUUCUGUGAAGGUAUUAUUAUAGCAAACCUGAGCACCUGUGACAGUGGAAUAGUUGUAAUGAAUAGUCACACAUGCAUAUUGGUAAAUUUAAAGUUACAGAUAAUUUUUUUUAGUACUAGCAAUAUUUUUAUUUUUAUUUUUUAUUUUUUAUUAAUUCUCUCCAGCAAACACAACACAACAGUUACACCAUUUCGAAUUCUGAGGUGCACAAAUCCUAUUCUACAAAUAAGAGAACAACAGUAUAAAAGUGCUCAGUUUAGCCUCUUUCACACUGAGAUUCCGGAUAAAACACGGGUAAUGUGUCCCGGCAAUUGUUCCCGGAUUGUUAGAUUUUGGUUCAUUCACACUGCCAGUGAUAGCGUUCACACACAACCCAUAAAGGUCCCGUAAUGACACGAGACAUCAGGAUGUGAUGUGUAAUGUAUGAGUUAAAAAUGCUAGGCCGCCAAUAAACGGAAGAAGGAGAAGAAGCAAAGCAGAAGUGUUUUCAAUGCUUUAUAAACAUGGCAGCUGAUCAGCUACUAGGGACAUUGUUGUUUAUGUAUAAAGCAUCUUCCACACAGAAAUUCCGGAAAAUACACGGAUAAUGUGUUCCAGGAUCCUUUGAUUGUGGUUCAUUUACACUGGCAGUGAUUUUCUGGAAUCUGUGUGUCACACACAACCCAUAAAGAUCCCGUAAAGACACAUGACAUUACGAUGCGACGUGUUUUGUUUCACUUAAGCUGGCGAACGAUCUCAGCUUUAGCACGGAUAGUGAGGAACUAACUGAUCUCUGCUUCAUUACAGUUUGCACAUAUUUUUUCGUCACGAAUGUUGAUCUGCCGUCAAAACACCCGGUAAAAGAGUCGCAUGAUAACGUGCGUCAUCACUACGACACACCCUUUACGCCAUUGGUUCUGGCUUUUGUUCACACAGAGCUCGUUCCGGGACUGAACCCAGCAAUGUUCCUAGGUCCCCAAACCAGGAUCAGUCCCGGAAUCAAUCCCGGGACGUGUUUGCGUUCACACAGAAGGCACUUUGGCAAUUUUCCAGCAAUUUUUUGGGACCACCGUGCAGUGUGAAAGGGGCUUUAGUCUAGCACAGUACACAUUUAGUUACAAGUUAUUUAUUUAUAUUAUUUUAUUUUUUUUAUUUUUUUUACAAAUAAGAGCAAACUGAAUAAAAUAGGAUUGAACUGAAUAGAAAAGGUAAGUGCUAGUAUUAAUUGAUCAGGUGCUGAUGGAAAAAGAGGUGUCUUUAAUGUUUUUGGAAAAUGGCUGAAGACUCAGAUGCUCGAACUGAGAAAGGCAAGUCAUUCUACCAUGAUCUUAUCUACAAAUACUACUAUUCUCAUAAAGUCUGUAAAUAUGUCCAGUUCUAAUAAACACACAUUUCAGGAAAAAAUAAUUCAAUAAUAUGACCAAAAUGAAAUACAGUCCUGC